GGCAUUAGGGCUUCCAGUGGCAGCUUUGUUCGGUUUUUGGUCAUUUCAGGCAGUAAAGGAAGAGUGAAGAAUUCCAGCAGCCAACAACCCUUAACGGCAGCCCUCAUUCCAGCAUUCCUUUGUUCCAGCAGCAAUCAACCUAAAUGGGGCAGUAACUCUUCAAUUCCAGCAUCUUCUUGUUCUUGAAUAAAGCUGUGGAACUUGAGGACUUUGACGCGAAACGAGUAUCUCGGAGUCGGUAUUGGACCUUUCUUUUAUCGGAGG
Molecule: long non-coding RNA, 264 nt
Organism: Zingiber officinale
Lineage: Eukaryota; Viridiplantae; Streptophyta; Magnoliopsida; Zingiberales; Zingiberaceae
Exons: 3
Source: RefSeq, a predicted model, not a curated record